This 521-nucleotide ribosomal RNA is filed under the name Sostea sp. UPOL RK0688. RNAcentral's name for it is "partial 16S ribosomal RNA". It matches the Rfam family "Bacterial large subunit ribosomal RNA", at positions 1827 to 2610 of the family's 2925-position model. Lineage: Eukaryota; Metazoa; Arthropoda; Insecta; Coleoptera; Dryopidae. The record is from RNAcentral.
CAUGUCCUUAAGUAAUGAAUUUAAGGUCUAGCCUGCCCAGUGAUUAUUUAAAUGGCCGCAGUAUAUUGACUGUGCAAAGGUAGCAUAAUAAUUAGUUUUUUAAUUGGGGACUAGAAUGAAUGGUUGGACGAGAAAAUUUCUGUCUCUUUUUUAUUUUUUGGAAUUUAAUUUUUGAGUUAAAAAGCUUAGAUUUUAUAAUAAGACGAGAAGACCCUAUAGAGUUUUAUAUUAAUUAAAAUUUUUGAUUUUAGUAUUUAUUAUUAAGUUUUAUUUUAAUAUUUUGUUGGGGUGACAGGAAGAUUAAUUAAACUCUUUUUUCUUAAAUACAUUGAUAAAUGAUUUGAUGAUCCAUUUUUUGUGAUUAUAAGAUUAAAUUACCUUAGGGAUAACAGCGUUAUUUUUUUAGAGAGUUCUAAUCGAUAAAGGAAAUUGCGACCUCGAUGUUGGAUUAAAAUUUAUUUUGGGUGCAAAAGCUUAAAUAUUGGGUCUGUUCGACCCUUAAAAUUUUACAUGAUCUGAGU